ACCUUAUCAACCGCUUCAGAUUUUUGAAUGUGGCUUGGACAAUGGGGGGCUCUUUGCUGGCCUUCAGAGAAAGGUCGGCUCCCCUGAAAUGCAUUAGUGGCAUCUGAGCUGCUACUGUAGGUGUGAUAAACUAUCUAUGCCUUUGGUAUGCUGCAUGAACAGAUCGCGCUGCUCAAAACCAAUUUGACAA
This 190-nucleotide unclassified non-coding RNA is filed under the name uncultured Inocybe. RNAcentral's name for it is "sequence contains ITS2". The record is from RNAcentral. Lineage: Eukaryota; Fungi; Basidiomycota; Agaricomycetes; Agaricales; Cortinariaceae.